Molecule: ribosomal RNA, 339 nt
Filed under: uncultured Nitrospirota bacterium
Lineage: Bacteria; Pseudomonadati; Nitrospirota
Description: bacterial SSU rRNA
Rfam family: Bacterial small subunit ribosomal RNA
Source: RNAcentral
AGCGAACGCUGGCGGCGUACUUAACACAUGCAAGUCGAACGGGGAUCGACGCGUGAGCAAUCAUGUGGCGGUCCUAGUGGCGCACGGGUGAGUAACACGUGGUAACCUGCCCUGGAGACCGGGAUACCCUCUCGAAAGGGAGGCUAAUACCGGAUACGUUCCUCAGAUCGCGAGGUCAGGGGAGGAAAGGUGGCGCAAGCUACCGCUCUUGGAGGGACUCGCGGCCUAUCAGCUAGUUGGUGAGGUGACGGCUCACCAAGGCUAUGACGGGUAGCUGGUCUGAGAGGACGACCAGCCACACGGGGACUGAGACACGGCCCCGACUCCUACGGGAGGCUG